GGGCCGGUCGUCUAGCAUGGUUAGGACGCCGCUCUGACACGGCGGAGGUCGAGAGUUCAAUUCUCUCCCGGCCCACCA
RNAcentral lists this transfer RNA (78 nucleotides) under Nitrososphaerota archaeon. RNAcentral's name for it is "Thaumarchaeota archaeon tRNA-Val". It matches the Rfam family "tRNA". From Rfam's summary of the family: Transfer RNA (tRNA) molecules are approximately 80 nucleotides in length. Their secondary structure includes four short double-helical elements and three loops (D, anti-codon, and T loops). Lineage: Archaea; Thermoproteati; Nitrososphaerota. The record is from RNAcentral.